Molecule: transfer RNA, 126 nt
Filed under: soil metagenome
Rfam family: tRNA
About the family: Transfer RNA (tRNA) molecules are approximately 80 nucleotides in length. Their secondary structure includes four short double-helical elements and three loops (D, anti-codon, and T loops).
Source: RNAcentral
GGGCCGGUAGCUUAGCUUGGUGGAGCGCCUGACUUUUACAUCCUUUAUGGAUGCCAAAAGCGAUGCUUUUGUGCACGUAAAAGUGAGGAGAUCAGGAGGUCGGGGGUCCAAAUCCCCUCCGGCCCG